GGGGAUGUCAAGGUUUCGACGGGGUUAGCAGGUUAUAGACAGCAGGUCGGUGUGGUUACCGCGAAAGACCAAAAACUCGUUUAAAUGACGAAAACAAUUACGCUUUAGCUGCUUAGUUGUCAGCUCAUCCCGGGAUACGUCUUCUGUAUGCGUAUUCCAAGGGGUGUAACCCAUAUACAGAUUACCCGCUCCGAUGUUUCUAAGGAAGCGGGGACAUUCGCGAAACUUGUAUGUUCGAGCCCUGUUUGCGGGAUUCGGGCAUAUGAAAUCCUAUAGCAAACUAAGCUUGUAGAAGUUUAUGGCGCUGUUAGUUUCGGACACGGGUUCGACUCCCGUCAUCUCCACCA
This 347-nucleotide transfer-messenger RNA is filed under the name Fusobacteriaceae bacterium. It matches the Rfam family "transfer-messenger RNA". From Rfam's summary of the family: Bacterial tmRNA, also known as 10Sa RNA or SsrA, is named for its dual tRNA and mRNA-like properties. The record is from RNAcentral. Lineage: Bacteria; Fusobacteriati; Fusobacteriota; Fusobacteriia; Fusobacteriales; Fusobacteriaceae.